GAAAAGCUCAAAUUUAAAAUCUGGCGGUCUCAGGCCGUCCGAGUUGUAAUCUAGAGAAGUGUUAUCCGCGCUGGACCGUGUACAAGUCUCCUGGAAUGGAGCGUCAUAGAGGGUGAGAAUCCCGUCUUUGACACGGACUGCCAGGGCUUUGUGAUGCGCUCUCAAAGAGUCGAGUUGUUUGGGAAUGCAGCUCAAAAUGGGUGGUAAAUUCCAUCUAAAGCUAAAUAUUGGCGAGAGACCGAUAGCGAACAAGUACCGUGAGGGAAAGAUGAAAAGAACUUUGGAAAGAGAGUUAAACAGUACGUGAAAUUGCUGAAAGGGAAACGCUUGAAGUCAGUCGCGUUGGCCGGGGAUCAACCUUGCUUUUGCUGGGUGUA
This 377-nucleotide ribosomal RNA is filed under the name Psilocybe atrobrunnea. RNAcentral's name for it is "eukaryotic LSU rRNA". It matches the Rfam family "Eukaryotic large subunit ribosomal RNA", at positions 102 to 472 of the family's 3401-position model. The record is from RNAcentral. Lineage: Eukaryota; Fungi; Basidiomycota; Agaricomycetes; Agaricales; Agrocybaceae.